This is a small nuclear RNA of Lampris incognitus (smalleye Pacific opah), 166 nucleotides long. RefSeq annotates it as U1 spliceosomal RNA. NCBI's taxonomy places the organism in Eukaryota, Metazoa, Chordata, Actinopteri, Lampriformes, Lampridae. The record is from RefSeq and is a predicted model, not a curated record. The transcript has a single exon.
AUACUUACCUGGCAAGGGAGAUCCCAUGAUCAAGAAAAUGGUUCACCGAGCGCGAGGCUUAACCAUCGCACUCCGGUUGUGCUGACUCCUGCGAAUUUCCCAAAUGUGGGAAUCUCAACUGCAUAAUUUCUGGCAGUCUGAAAUGUUUAAGUUGUGCUUUUCCAGC